RNAcentral lists this long non-coding RNA (588 nucleotides) under Homo sapiens (human). Its description in RNAcentral is "HSALNT0077443". The record is from RNAcentral. Lineage: Eukaryota; Metazoa; Chordata; Mammalia; Primates; Hominidae.
ACACUCAACCCUAGACGCUGCCGUGGGGUCAGAGCCCAUGCUCCCAACGACCUGCCCGUCUGCAUGCUCCUCCCCUAGGGGUUUGAGCUGCUGCAGCAGAGCGCCAAAGAAGCAAGCCACACGCCAUCACACGCCCUGCCAGGGGGAUAAGGGAACUUUUCCUGUUUCAACUGGGACCUCGCCCAGGAUCCCGGAAGGGAUUCCAGCAUUUGUCCCAGCAUGUUUUAUGCAGAAAGAAGUGAUCAAGGAAAGUGUCCAAGACAUGGUAAGCCAAAUGUAGAAUGAGGCAGUCAUAGUGAGAGGAUUGUCCACUCUGUUAUGCAUGAUUGAGAGUCAUAUUUAUUCCUAAACUACAUUCUUUUAUUAUUACUGUUAACUUUUCUCUGAAGUCCACACAGAGGAGAACUCCAUGGGAAGAUACACAUUGAGAGAGAAGAUAUUCAUGUGAUGAUGAAGGUAGAAACUAGAAUGAUGCAUCUACAAGCCAAGGAAUGCUAGAGAUUGUAGGCAACUACCAGAAACUACAAGAGGUAAGAGGAUUCUCUGCUGCAGGUUUCAGAGGGAGUGUGGUCCUACUCCUACCUCGAU